AAACAGCCCCCUAUGUUUUGAUUCUUUAGCAGUUUUGGACCCCCAAGGCAAAAAAAUAAAAAUAAAAUUGACAUGUGGCACCUCACUUAGGGUGCCACGUCAGCGUUGACCGAGUCAACAAUGGACUGGGGGUCCAAAACUGCCAAAAAAUCAAAACAUAGGGGACUGUUU
RNAcentral lists this microRNA precursor (171 nucleotides) under Medicago truncatula (barrel medic). RNAcentral's name for it is "MIR2619 microRNA precursor family". It matches the Rfam family "MIR2619 microRNA precursor family". The record is from Rfam by way of RNAcentral. Lineage: Eukaryota; Viridiplantae; Streptophyta; Magnoliopsida; Fabales; Fabaceae.